GUACACGCUGUGACUAGCAUAUCAAUAAGCGGAGGAAAAGAAACUAACAAGGAUUCCCCUAGUAACGGCGAGUGAAGCGGGAAGAGCUCAAAUUUGAAAUCUUAAAGGGUUUCCCUUUACGAAUUGUAGUUUAAAGAAGUGUUUUCUGUUGAGGUUUUGGUAAAAGUUCUUUGGAAUAGGACAUCAUAGAGGGUGAGAAUCCCGUAUUUGACCUUUACUUUCAACUUUGUGAUACACUUUCAAAGAGUCGGAUUGUUUGGGAAUGCAGUCCAAAAUGGGUGGUAAAUUUCAUCUAAAGCUAAAUAUUGGCGAGAGACCGAUAGCGAACAAGUACCGUGAGGGAAAGAUGAAAAGAACUUUGAAAAGAGAGUUAAACAGUACAUGAAAUUGUCAAAAGGGAAGCGUUUGACACCAGUGUUGUUUUUCUGAAAAUCAAUUAAAGAACUGUUUAUGCUAAGCUGUUUAGACUUUAUCAGCUAUCUGUUUAGUUUUGAGCUUUUCUUUAAUGCACUUUUCAGUUAACAAGUCAACAUCAAUUUCUUUUGCUGUAAAAAAGCUUGAGGAAGGUGGCUUGAGAUUCGUCUUAAGUGUUUAUAGCCUCUUGCCUAUGCAGUCGGAGAGAUUGAGGUCUGCAGCGUAGAUCCUUCGGGGCUAAAUGCAUUUGUGCUAAGUUAUAGCAUUUUAUAGACAACUUGUUGACUAUGAUUUGUCUUGUAGCUUACUCGCUUAUGUUAUUUUACCUACGCUUAGGAUGUUGAAGAUGUAGCACAUCAU
Molecule: ribosomal RNA, 774 nt
Filed under: uncultured Neocallimastigales
Lineage: Eukaryota; Fungi; Neocallimastigomycota; Neocallimastigomycetes; Neocallimastigales
Description: partial large subunit ribosomal RNA
Rfam family: Eukaryotic large subunit ribosomal RNA
Source: RNAcentral